GAACGACGCGUGGCGGCAUGCCGAACACAUGCAAGUCGAACGGGAUCCUAGCUUGCUAGGUGAGAGUGGCGGACGGGUGAGUAACACGUGGGAAUCUGCCUUUUGGUUCGGGAUAACCGCGGGAAACUGCGGCUAAUACCGAAUGCCCUCGAGAGAGGAAAGAUUUAUCGCCAGAAGAGGGGCCCGCGUCCGAUUAGGUAGUUGGUGAGGUAAUGGCUCACCAAGCCGACGAUCGGUAGCUGGUCUGAGAGGAUGAUCAGCCACACUGGGACUGAGAUACGGCCCAGACUCCUACGGGAGGCAGCAGUGGGGAAUAUUGGACAAUGGGCGAAAGCCUGAUCCAGCCAUGCCGCGUGAGUGAUGAAGGCCCUAGGGUUGUAAAGCUCUUUCAACGGUGAAGAUAAUGACGGUAACCGUAGAAGAAGCCCCGGCUAACUUCGUG
RNAcentral lists this ribosomal RNA (442 nucleotides) under uncultured bacterium. Its description in RNAcentral is "bacterial SSU rRNA". It matches the Rfam family "Bacterial small subunit ribosomal RNA", at positions 37 to 507 of the family's 1533-position model. The record is from RNAcentral.